RNAcentral lists this ribosomal RNA (319 nucleotides) under Clostridioides difficile. Its description in RNAcentral is "bacterial SSU rRNA". It matches the Rfam family "Bacterial small subunit ribosomal RNA", at positions 466 to 785 of the family's 1533-position model. The record is from RNAcentral. Lineage: Bacteria; Bacillati; Bacillota; Clostridia; Peptostreptococcales; Peptostreptococcaceae.
AUAAUGACGGUACUUGAGGAGGAAGCCCCGGCUAACUACGUGCCAGCAGCCGCGGUAAUACGUAGGAGGCUAGCGUUAUCCGGAUUUACUGGGCGUAAAGGGUGCGUAGGCGGUCUUUCUAGUCAGGGGUGAAAGGCUACGGCUCAACCGUAGUAAGCUCUUGAAACUGGGAGACUUGAGUGCAGGAGAGGGGAGUGGAAUUCCUAGUGUAGCGGUGAAAUGCGUAGAUAUUAGGAGAAGCGCCAGUUACGAAGUCGGCUCUCUGGACUGUAACUGGCGCUGAGGAACGAAAGCGUGGGGAGCAAACAGGAUUAGAUAC